GGAGGAAUAUUGGACAAUGGGCGCAAGCCUGAUCCAGCCAUGCCGCGUGCAGGAAGAAGGUCCUAUGGAUUGUAAACUGCUUUUAUACAGGAAGAAACACCUCUACGUGUAGAGACUUGACGGUACUGUAUGAAUAAGGACCGGCUAACUCCGUGCCAGCAGCCGCGGUAAUACGGAGGGUCCAAGCGUUAUCCGGAAUCAUUGGGUUUAAAGGGUCCGUAGGCGGUUUAAUAAGUCAGUGGUGAAAGCC
This 250-nucleotide ribosomal RNA is filed under the name uncultured bacterium. Its description in RNAcentral is "partial 16S ribosomal RNA". It matches the Rfam family "Bacterial small subunit ribosomal RNA", at positions 355 to 602 of the family's 1533-position model. The record is from RNAcentral.